Molecule: long non-coding RNA, 1507 nt
Organism: Heterocephalus glaber (naked mole-rat)
Lineage: Eukaryota; Metazoa; Chordata; Mammalia; Rodentia; Bathyergidae
Source: Ensembl
CACAUUCCUGCUGCCUAAAGGUUUACAGGGAGAAAUAAUAAAAAAUAAAUAGCAAGUAGAAAAGUGUGAACAUUUCAAUUAGCAGAAUCUAGUACGGCCACUUUUAAAUGAUACUUUUAAGUUCUCUACAUCCUUGGACUGAGAGUAUUCCCCUUGGACUUUUCAGGGGGUUCUUUUUACCAGUGUGGAGAUGACAUUCUACCUUCCACUCUUCUCUUCAGGGAUCAGGACACAGGCACAGGCACAACUUGUUCAGCCCCUGACCUCAUGGAGCUUAACAUUCAGUGGAGAAAUAAAUACUACUAUGCACAUACCCUCAAAAAAGAAAUAGUGUGUCCAUGUGUACAUCUGGAAAAUGUGAGUGUUUUACUUGGUGUCAGCUUUGAAAGCCCCUAAUGAGGCAUCUGCAUGUCAAGGAUUCUCAGCCCUUCCUCUUGACAUUAAGAGACAAUAAAAUGGGUGUGUGUGUGUGUGCGCACACGUGAGCGCAUGCCCCCAUGCAUAUUGCAUUCCUUGGACCUCAAAACAGAAAACUCCUUCUCAAUAGUCCUUGUUGCCAAGUUCAGCCAAGUUAAGAACUUCUGCAGGCUUUGGUGUUCACAAAAGGAGCAUUCCACCUGCCAGCCUGCACUGUGGUCUGCUGGGACAGUGAAGACUCACUGAAAAAUAAUUUUCUUCAGGGAACUAAAACUUUUUUCACUGUGAGCAGGUAUCAUUCUUGGUCUCUGCUCCCAGACAAUAGUUCUAUAUAAGGUAUAUUUUGAGGGGAACAGUAAAACAAGAUGUUUUGAUUUCACACCAGCUACAAAGCUCCGGGACAGUGGGAGAAUAAGGCAGGUCUUUUAACAGGUGUUUUGAUUCAUGUGUUUUCUAUAUAAUGAAAUAAGUGUCUUCGUGUGCUAGAUUUUCUUUGUCUUUACUAAAGAGCUCUCUUGCAUUAACCUAAUUUUAUUAACCAUCUGAAGUCUGAAGGAGUGCUGUAAAGUCAGGUAGUAUGAAGGAUGGGGGAAUAUAAUGGCUGGAUUCCUUUGGCUGGCACCUUUCUUUACCUGCUGACAGGCGGUUGACAGAGAGGGGAGAGAGCUUCAGUCCAAGUCUGUCCGGAGCAAUGCUACAUAAUUUUAGGGAAAAAUCAUUUGAUUAGGCCUAGUUCUUCUGCCUGUAGGCCAGCUAUGGCAGUUCACGACUAAUUCCAUUUUGGCCUCCGGUCACAACUGAGACUCGAUGAUCCGGUGAUGCUGUGAUGCUCCAGGACAAGAUUACACCAGCUGAAGACAUCCUGGGAGGAACAAAAUCUUCAUCUACUCAGUUCCUCAUUGUUCUUGGAUUUCCACUGCCCCCCAAUCAUUUGUUACACUUUGUUUAUCCCGAUGUACUGAACUCUCUGCAAGUCGUUUGUACAUAUGUUUCUCCCGAUGUACUGAAUAAAAGGUGCAGAAAGCUCCCGGGCUUUCGUCUUUGGUGCCCAGAGCAGCACUGAUCAGGCCCAAAGCUCAGCUUCUUCUCC